CUCCGCGCGCCUGCCCACGCGCUCCGGUACUCGCUGCUCGCGGCUGGCCGGCUCGGGAUUCCGGGCUUUCUUCCCGAGACCGCGUCCCCCAGCUGGGCCGAAGGUGGACGCUCAGGGGCUGGAGGCUCAGCGGAAUCCCCUGCGUUCAGUAGCCCCGCUCUCCCCUGUCCCGAAGGAUUACUCUGCCCCUCAGCGGUUCCAGUGCCCUCAAAGCAAUCUGUCUCUGAAGUACUGGCUAUCUUCUGAGCGUGUGCCAGAAGAUCCAGCUUUGUUGAAAAGCGAAGCCGUUAGUCCCUUAAUACAAAGGAGACAAAUUGAUUUAUGCCUGGGGCACCAUCACCAAAAGAAGAGGAAAUGGAUGCAAGCCUUCCCAGAACAACAGAAAGAGUCUCGCUCUGUUGCCAGGCUGAAGUGCUAUGGUGUGAUCUCAGCUCACUGCAACCUCCGCUUUCUGGGUUCAAGCAAUUCUCAUGCCUCAGCCUCCCGAGUAGCUGGGAUUACAGGCACAUGCCACCACGCCCAGCUAAUUUUUGUAAUCUUAGUAGAGAUGGAGUUUCACCAUGUUAGCCAGGCUGGUCUUGAACUCCUGACCUCAAGUAAUCCGCCAGCCUCAGCCUCCCAAAGUGCUGGGAUUACAGGUGUGAGCCACUGUGCUCAGCCAAAAAACUUGCAUUUUAAAGAAAGUUUUCCAGAACUGGGCUUGUUCCAUUCAAUAAGUAGAUUGAGUUACAACUAUGCACUUAGCUUCAUGUGACACUGAAGGGAAUAUGAAGAAGAAAGAAGACAAAUUCUGCUUAUACUCUGAUAGGACGACCUCUGCUAUUUUCCUUCUGAAGCUUUGCAGAGAGCAGUGAAUUGUAAUGAAAGGAGAUUUGGGAGUAAAGACUCCGUGAGGUAUUGAAGUCUCUAGGGGAACCUCAUUAUAGCAUUCCUCUUCCCAGCCUGGAUUCUGAACAAUUUGAGAAAUAAAAAGCAAAUGUGAAGCACACUGAGGCCAAAGUAUCACCUUUAGAACCAGUAAAGAUGAAUUGGAAUUCCAGGCAUGGCAGGCCAAGGCAGACAUCAUCCUUAGAGGCAGAGUCCCUGGAGGGGAAGAGGAAGGAGAUAAAGCUGAAGCAAGCAAGCCAGGGCAAGUCACUUUGACACCCCAGGGACAGAAAGGGACCAGGAGUAUGGUCAGCUGCAACUAGGAACUGGGGAAAGAUGUUCCCGCAUCACUGGUUUUUUCCGCUCCUCAGAUGCGUGACGUUGGAUGAGUCCAUUAAUCCCUCUAUCCAUUAUCAUCUUUUCUAAACCAAAGGAUUUUACUAGAUCAUCUCUGAAAUUUCUUCCAGGUCUACAGUGGUAUGAUUAUAUAAAUUACUAGACCCAUAGUAAAUCAUCUAAGAGCUCAUAUGACCUUAUUUAGAAAGGAAAUUACAAAUCUUUUACACUUGGAUCUGGAAUUGCUUUUGUAAAUGUGAAGCUACUAUGAGUUGAAUUACACUUUUGUUUCAGAGAUUGACUUUAUGAAGAUCCUUAGGAAGUUUUAAAGUUGAAUAAGAUUCUUCUUCUUACCUUUAAUCAUCACUUUUACAUCUCAUUUGUGGAGAAUCAAAAGUCACUGGAAUCAAAAGUCACUGACCCACAAAGUGUCUUCCUCUUGCAAGAUGGGCAAAUGGAUCCACAACAACAUAAAACCCAGCAUCACACUGACGGUUACAGAUCUGUUUCUGCCGGGUUGAGUCUCCUGGCCACCAGAAUCCCAGAGCUCUCACCCAGGCUGAGAUGCAAAAGCCACAAGCACAGUGGGGAGAGAGGAAAAUAAGAGAAGGAGCCCAUGACUUUGAGAUGUGAAAUAAAGGAGAACCAACAAUACUCUGUGCCUACUCAUGAGCACCUCGGUGUACUCCAGAACUUUCAUUUCAAAAAGUUAAAUAGGAACCUUUGUCCAGAGAUUGGCUCAGAUGUUCUCAUUAGAUCUUAGCUUGAAGCCUCUUCUGCCAGUUCCUCCCUGUUUUUAUAGUAAGUCUCAUAAGGCAUGGUCCUGGACCCACAGCCCUGUAUCAUAUGGAAAAAUGAUGCAGGCCGGGCAUGGUGGCUCAUGCCUGUAAUCCCAGCACUUUGGGAAGCCAAGGCGGGUGGAUCAUUUGAGGUCAGGAGUUCAAGACCAGCCUGGCCAACAUGAUGAAACCCCAUCUCUACU
Long non-coding RNA from Homo sapiens (human), 2185 nucleotides. Ensembl annotates it as KTN1 antisense RNA 1. Its record names the gene KTN1-AS1. The record is from Ensembl. NCBI's taxonomy places the organism in Eukaryota, Metazoa, Chordata, Mammalia, Primates, Hominidae.